AACGCGAAGAACCUUACCAGGCCUUGACAUGCAGAGAACUUUCCAGAGAUGGAUUGGUGCCUUCGGGAACUCUGACACAGGUGCUGCAUGGCUGCCGUCAGCUCGUGUCGUGAGAUGUUGGGUUAAGUCCCGUAACGAGCGCACCCCUUGUCCUUAGUUACCAGCACGUUAAGGUGGGCACUCUAAGGAGACUGCCGGUGACAAACCGGAGGAAGAUGGGGAUGACGUCAAGUCAUCAUGGCCCUUACGGCCUGGGCUACACACGUGCUACAAUAGUCGGUACAAAGGGUUGCCAAGCCGCGAGGUGGAGCUAAUCCCAUAAAACCGAUGUAGUCCGGAUCGCAGUCUGCAACUCGAUUGCGUGAAGUCGGAAUCGCCAGUAAUCGAAUCAGAA
This 394-nucleotide ribosomal RNA is filed under the name uncultured Pseudomonas sp. RNAcentral's name for it is "bacterial SSU rRNA". It matches the Rfam family "Bacterial small subunit ribosomal RNA", at positions 958 to 1354 of the family's 1533-position model. The record is from RNAcentral. Lineage: Bacteria; Pseudomonadati; Pseudomonadota; Gammaproteobacteria; Pseudomonadales; Pseudomonadaceae.